Molecule: small nuclear RNA, 105 nt
Organism: Octopus sinensis (East Asian common octopus)
Lineage: Eukaryota; Metazoa; Mollusca; Cephalopoda; Octopoda; Octopodidae
Source: RefSeq, a predicted model, not a curated record
ACUUGCUUCAGCAGUUCAUAGACUUAAAAGUGGAAUGAUGCAGAAAAGAUUAGCAUGGCCCUGUGCAAGGCUGACAUGCAAAUUUAUAUAUAGAUAUAUAUAUAU